GACGCUGGCGGCGUGCCUAAUACAUGCAAGUCGAGCGAACAGACGAGGAGCUUGCUCCUCUGACGUUAGCGGCGGACGGGUGAGUAACACGUGGAUAACCUACCUAUAAGACUGGGAUAACUUCGGGAAACCGGAGCUAAUACCGGAUAAUAUAUUGAACCGCAUGGUUCAAUAGUGAAAGACGGUUUUGCUGUCACUUAUAGAUGGAUCCGCGCCGCAUUAGCUAGUUGGUAAGGUAACRGCUUACCAAGGCAACGAUGCGUAGCCGACCUGAGAGGGUGAUCGGCCACACUGGAACUGAGACACGGUCCAGACUCCUACGGGAGGCAGCAGUAGGGAAUCUUCCGCAAUGGGCGAAAGCCUGACGGAGCAACGCCGCGUGAGUGAUGAAGGUCUUCGGAUCGUAAAACUCUGUUAUUAGGGAAGAACAAAUGUGUAAGUAACUAUGCACGUCUUGACGGUACCUAAUCAGAAAGCCACGGCUAACUACGUGCCAGCAGCCGCGGUAAUACGUAGGUGGCAAGCGUUAUCCGGAAUUAUUGGGCGUAAAGCGCGCGUAGGCGGUUUUUUAAGUYUGAUGUGAAAGCCCACGGCUCAACCGUGGAGGGUCAUUGGAAACUGGAAAACUUGAGUGCAGAAGAGGAAAGUGGAAUUCCAUGUGUAGCGGUGAAAUGSGCAGAGAUAUGGAGGAACACCAGUGGCGAAGGCGACUUUCUGGUCUGUAACUGACGCUGAUGUGCGAAAGCGUGGGGAUCAAACAGGAUUAGAUACCCUGGUAGUCCACGCCGUAAACGAUGAGUGSUAAGUGUUAGGGGGUUUCCGCCCCUUAGUGCUGCAGCUAACGCAUUAAGCACUCCGCCUGGGGAGUACGACCGCAAGGUUGAAACUCAAAGGAAUUGACGGGGACCCGCACAAGCGGUGGAGCAUGUGGUUUAAUUCGAAGCAACGCGAAGAACCUUACCAAAUCUUGACAUCCUCUGACCCCUCUAGAGAUAGAGUUUUCCCCUUCGGGGGACAGAGUGACAGGUGGUGCAUGGUUGUCGUCAGCUCGUGUCGUGAGAUGUUGGGUUAAGUCCCGCAACGAGCGCAACCCUUAAGCUUAGUUGCCAUCAUUAAGUUGGGCACUCUAAGUUGACUGCCGGUGACAAACCGGAGGAAGGUGGGGAUGACGUCAAAUCAUCAUGCCCCUUAUGAUUUGGGCUACACACGUGCUACAAUGGACAAUACAAAGGGYAGCGAAACCGCGAGGUCAAGCAAAUCCCAUAAAGUUGUUCUCAGUUCGGAUUGUAGUCUGCAACUCGACUAUAUGAAGCUGGAAUCGCUAGUAAUCGUAGAUCAGC
RNAcentral lists this ribosomal RNA (1340 nucleotides) under Staphylococcus epidermidis. RNAcentral's name for it is "bacterial SSU rRNA". Lineage: Bacteria; Bacillati; Bacillota; Bacilli; Caryophanales; Staphylococcaceae. The record is from RNAcentral.